GAUGAACGCUGACAGAAUGCUUAACACAUGCAAGUCAACUGUGGCGGACGGGUGAGUAACGCGUAAAGAACUUGCCUCACGGAUAGGGACAACAUUUGGAAACGGAUGAUAAUACCUGAUACUGUGAGAGAGCUUUGCGUCCCAUUAGCUAGUUGGAGAGGUAACGGCUCACCAAGGCGAGGAUGGGUAGCCGGCCUGAGAGGGUGAUAGGCCACAAGGGGACAGAGACACGGCCCGUACGCCUACGGGAGGCAGCAGUGGGGAAUAUUGGACAAUGGACCAAAGUCUGAUGCAGCAAUUCUGGUUGUAAGAUGAUGUUUUCGGAAUGUAAAGUGCUUUCAGUUGGGAAGCGGUACCAACAGAAGAAGUGACGGCUAAAUACGUGCCAGCAGCCGCGGUAAUUC
Molecule: ribosomal RNA, 404 nt
Filed under: uncultured bacterium
Lineage: Bacteria
Description: partial 16S ribosomal RNA
Rfam family: Bacterial small subunit ribosomal RNA
Source: RNAcentral